RNAcentral lists this ribosomal RNA (183 nucleotides) under uncultured bacterium. RNAcentral's name for it is "partial 16S ribosomal RNA". It matches the Rfam family "Bacterial small subunit ribosomal RNA", at positions 1319 to 1500 of the family's 1533-position model. The record is from RNAcentral.
CACGAAGCUGGAAUCGCUAGUAAUCGCGAAUCAGAAUGUCGCGGUGAAUACGUUCCCGGGUCUUGUACACACCGCCCGUCACACCAUGGGAGUCGGGAAUGCCCGAAGUCAGUGACCCAACCAUAUGGAGGGAGCUGCCGAACGGCAGGUCUGAUAACUGGGGUGAAGUCGUAACAAGGUAGC